GGCGAGAUGGCCGAGCGGUCUAAGGCGCUAGAAUCAGGU
RNAcentral lists this transfer RNA (39 nucleotides) under Moniliophthora perniciosa FA553. RNAcentral's name for it is "tRNA-Leu". The record is from RNAcentral. Lineage: Eukaryota; Fungi; Basidiomycota; Agaricomycetes; Agaricales; Marasmiaceae.